GGUUAAGCGACUAAGCGUACACGGUGGAUGCCCUGGCAGUCAGAGGCGAUGAAGGACGUGCUAAUCUGCGAAAAGCGUCGGUAAGGUGAUAUGAACCGUUACAGCCGGCGAUGUCCGAAUGGGGAAACCCAGUGUGAUUCGUCACACUAUCGUUAACUGAAUACAUAGGUUAACGAGGCGAACCGGGGGAACUGAAACAUCUAAGUACCCCGAGGAAAAGAAAUCAACCGAGAUUCCCCCAGUAGCGGCGAGCGAACGGGGAGCAGCCCAGAGUCUGAAUCAGCUUGUGUGUUAGUGGAACGGUCUGGAAAGUCCGACGGUACAGGGUGAUAGUCCCGUACACCAAAAUGCACAGGCUGUGAACUCGAAGAGUAGGGCGGGACACGUGGUAUCCUGUCUGAAUAUGGGGGGACCAUCCUCCAAGGCUAAAUACUCCUGACUGACCGAUAGUGAACCAGUACCGUGAGGGAAAGGCGAAAAGAACCCCGGCGAGGGGAGUGAAAAAGAACCUGAAACCGUGUACGUACAAGCAGUGGGAGCACCUUCGGGUGUGACUGCGUACCUUUUGUAUAAUGGGUCAGCGACUUAUAUUCUGUAGCAAGGUUAACCGUAUAGGGGAGCCGCAGGGAAACCGAGUCUUAACUGGGCGUUAAGUUGCAGGGUAUAGACCCGAAACCCGGUGAUCUAGCCAUGGGCAGGUUGAAGGUUGGGUAACACUAACUGGAGGACCGAACCGACUAAUGUUGAAAAAUUAGCGGAUGACUUGUGGCUGGGGGUGAAAGGCCAAUCAAACCGGGAGAUAGCUGGUUCUCCCCGAAAGCUAUUUAGGUAGCGCCUCGUGAACUCAUCUUCGGGGGUAGAGCACUGUUUCGGCUAGGGGGUCAUCCCGACUUACCAACCCGAUGCAAACUACGAAUACCGAAGAAUGUUAUCACGGGAGACACACGGCGGGUGCUAACGUCCGUCGUGAAGAGGGAAACAACCCAGACCGCCAGCUAAGGUCCCAAAGUCAUGGUUAAGUGGGAAACGAUGUGGGAAGGCACAGACAGCCAGGAUGUUGGCUUAGAAGCAGCCAUCAUUUAAAGAAAGCGUAAUAGCUCACUGGUCGAGUCGGCCUGCGCGGAAGAUGUAACGGGGCUAAACCAUGCACCGAAGCUGCGGCAGCGACACUAUGUGUUGUUGGGUAGGGGAGCGUUCUGUAAGCCUGCGAAGGUGUGCUGUGAGGCAUGCUGGAGGUAUCAGAAGUGCGAAUGCUGACAUAAGUAACGAUAAAGCGGGUGAAAAGCCCGCUCGCCGGAAGACCAAGGGUUCCUGUCCAACGUUAAUCGGGGCAGGGUGAGUCGACCCCUAAGGCGAGGCCGAAAGGCGUAGUCGAUGGGAAACAGGUUAAUAUUCCUGUACUUGGUGUUACUGCGAAGGGGGGACGGAGAAGGCUAUGUUAGCCGGGCGACGGUUGUCCCGGUUUAAGCAUGUAGGCUGAUUGUCCAGGCAAAUCCGGAUAAUCAAGGCUGAGGUGUGAUGACGAGGCACUACGGUGCUGAAGUAACAAAUGCCCUGCUUCCAGGAAAAGCCUCUAAGCAUCAGGUAACAUCAAAUCGUACCCCAAACCGACACAGGUGGUCAGGUAGAGAAUACCAAGGCGCUUGAGAGAACUCGGGUGAAGGAACUAGGCAAAAUGGUGCCGUAACUUCGGGAGAAGGCACGCUGGUGUGUAGGUGAAGUCCCUGCGGAUGGAGCUGAGACCAGUCGAAGAUACCAGCUGGCUGCAACUGUUUAUUAAAAACACAGCACUGUGCAAACACGAAAGUGGACGUAUACGGUGUGACGCCUGCCCGGUGCCGGAAGGUUAAUUGAUGGGGUUAUCCGUAAGGAGAAGCUCUUGAUCGAAGCCCCGGUAAACGGCGGCCGUAACUAUAACGGUCCUAAGGUAGCGAAAUUCCUUGUCGGGUAAGUUCCGACCUGCACGAAUGGCGUAAUGAUGGCCAGGCUGUCUCCACCCGAGACUCAGUGAAAUUGAACUCGCUGUGAAGAUGCAGUGUACCCGCGGCAAGACGGAAAGACCCCGUGAACCUUUACUAUAGCUUGACACUGAACAUUGAGCCUUGAUGUGUAGGAUAGGUGGGAGGCUUUGAAGCGUGGACGCCAGUCUGCGUGGAGCCAACCUUGAAAUACCACCCUUUAAUGUUUGAUGUUCUAACGUUGGCCCCUGACCGGGGUUGCGGACAGUGUCUGGUGGGUAGUUUGACUGGGGCGGUCUCCUCCCAAAGCGUAACGGAGGAGCACGAAGGUUAGCUAAUCCUGGUCGGACAUCAGGAGGUUAGUGCAAUGGCAUAAGCUAGCUUGACUGCGAGCGUGACGGCGCGAGCAGGUGCGAAAGCAGGUCAUAGUGAUCCGGUGGUUCUGAAUGGAAGGGCCAUCGCUCAACGGAUAAAAGGUACUCCGGGGAUAACAGGCUGAUACCGCCCAAGAGUUCAUAUCGACGGCGGUGUUUGGCACCUCGAUGUCGGCUCAUCACAUCCUGGGGCUGAAGUAGGUCCCAAGGGUAUGGCUGUUCGCCAUUUAAAGUGGUACGCGAGCUGGGUUUAGAACGUCGUGAGACAGUUCGGUCCCUAUCUGCCGUGGGCGCUGGAGAAUUGAGGGGGGCUGCUCCUAGUACGAGAGGACCGGAGUGGACGCAUCACUGGUGUUCGGGUUGUCAUGCCAAUGGCACUGCCCGGUAGCUAAAUGCGGAAGAGAUAAGUGCUGAAAGCAUCUAAGCACGAAACUUGCCCCGAGAUGAGUUCUCCCUGAGACU
Molecule: ribosomal RNA, 2794 nt
Filed under: Klebsiella pneumoniae
Lineage: Bacteria; Pseudomonadati; Pseudomonadota; Gammaproteobacteria; Enterobacterales; Enterobacteriaceae
Description: partial 23S ribosomal RNA
Rfam family: Bacterial large subunit ribosomal RNA
Source: RNAcentral